RNAcentral lists this ribosomal RNA (254 nucleotides) under uncultured bacterium. RNAcentral describes it as "partial 16S ribosomal RNA". It matches the Rfam family "Bacterial small subunit ribosomal RNA", at positions 524 to 776 of the family's 1533-position model. The record is from RNAcentral.
CACGUAGGAGGCGAGCGUUGUCCGGAAUCAUUGGGCGUAAAGAGCUCGUAGGCGGUUGCGUAAGUCGGAUGUGAAAACUCAGGGCUCAACCCUGAGACGCCAUCCGAUACUGCGCUGACUUGAAUCCAGUAGGGGAGUGUGGAAUUCCUGGUGUAGCGGUGAAAUGCGCAGAUAUCAGGAGGAACACCUAUGGCGAAGGCAGCACUCUGGGCUGGUAUUGACGCUGAGGAGCGAAAGCAUGGGUAGCAAACAGG